RNAcentral lists this ribosomal RNA (709 nucleotides) under uncultured marine bacterium. RNAcentral's name for it is "bacterial SSU rRNA". It matches the Rfam family "Bacterial small subunit ribosomal RNA", at positions 727 to 1436 of the family's 1533-position model. The record is from RNAcentral.
UGCUGGGCCAUUACUGACGCUCAUGGACGAAAGCCAGGGGAGCGAAAGGGAUUAGAUACCCCUGUAGUCCUGGCCGUAAACGAUGAACACUAGGUGUCGGGGGAAUCGACCCCUUCGGUGUCGUAGCUAACGCGUUAAGUGUUCCGCCUGGGGAGUACGCACGCAAGUGUGAAACUCAAAGGAAUUGACGGGGGCCCGCACAAGCGGUGGAGUAUGUGGUUUAAUUCGAUGCAACGCGAAGAACCUUACCAGGGUUUGACAUCCUGAGAACCUCUUAGAAAUUUGAGGGUGCCUUCGGGAAUUCAGUGACAGGUGGUGCAUGGCUGUCGUCAGCUCGUGUCGUGAGAUGUUGGGUUAAGUCCCGCAACGAGCGCAACCCACGUUUUUAGUUGCCAGCAUUUAGUUGGGCACUCUAGAAAGACCGCCGGUGAUAAACCGGAGGAAGGUGUGGAUGACGUCAAGUCAUCAUGCCCCUUACACCCUGGGCUACACACGUACUACAAUGCUACGGACAAAGGGCAGCAAACUCGCGAGAGCUAGCAAAUCCCAUAAACCGUGGCUCAGUUCAGAUCGUAGGCUGCAACUCGCCUACGUGAAGUAGGAAUCGCUAGUAAUCGCAGGUCAGCAUACUGCGGUGAAUACGUUCCCGGGCCUUGUACACACCGCCCGUCACACCAUGGAAGUUGGCCAUGCCCGAAGUCGUUACUCC